This 21-nucleotide unclassified non-coding RNA is filed under the name Dictyostelium discoideum. Lineage: Eukaryota; Evosea; Eumycetozoa; Dictyosteliales; Dictyosteliaceae. The record is from RNAcentral.
AUGGGGCUUUCUUCUUCCUUU